UGUAUUCCUUAUCUGUUAUCUGUUUUUUAAUGUUUAUGUGGAGCCUAUCUCCACGCUACUCUACUUAUCAAUCAACCCCAAAAUAGCGGGAAGAUAGGCCCUGCUGGUAUUGCCGCUAAAACCCUCAAA
RNAcentral lists this small RNA (129 nucleotides) under Providencia sneebia DSM 19967. RNAcentral describes it as "tp2". It matches the Rfam family "tp2". Lineage: Bacteria; Pseudomonadati; Pseudomonadota; Gammaproteobacteria; Enterobacterales; Morganellaceae. The record is from Rfam by way of RNAcentral.